Molecule: ribosomal RNA, 207 nt
Filed under: uncultured bacterium
Lineage: Bacteria
Description: partial 16S ribosomal RNA
Rfam family: Bacterial small subunit ribosomal RNA
Source: RNAcentral
AGCGCAGACGGCGAAGCAAGUCUGAAGUGAAAUGCAUGGGCUCAACCCAUGAAUUGCUUUGGAAACUGUUUGGCUUGAGUGUCGGAGGGGUAAGCGGAAUUCCUGGUGUAGCGGUGGAAUGCGCAGAUAUCAGGAGGAACACCGGUGGCGAAGGCGGGUCUCUGGGCAGUAACUGACGCUGAGGAGCGAAAGCGUGGGUAGCGAACA